This 424-nucleotide ribosomal RNA is filed under the name Acidobacteriota bacterium. RNAcentral describes it as "Acidobacteria bacterium partial 16S ribosomal RNA". It matches the Rfam family "Bacterial small subunit ribosomal RNA", at positions 355 to 776 of the family's 1533-position model. Lineage: Bacteria; Pseudomonadati; Acidobacteriota. The record is from RNAcentral.
UGAGGAAUAUUGGACAAUGGGUGAGAGCCUGAUCCAGCCAUCCCGCGUGAAGGACGACGGCCCUAUGGGUUGUAAACUUCUUUUGUAUAGGGAUAAACCUUUCCACGUGUGGAAAGCUGAAGGUACUAUACGACUAAGCACCGGCUAACUCCGUGCCAGCAGCCGCGGUAAUACGGAGGGUGCAAGCGUUAUCCGGAUUUAUUGGGUUUAAAGGGUCCGUAGGCGGAUCUGUAAGUCAGUGGUGAAAUCUCAUAGCUUAACUAUGAAACUGCCAUUGAUACUGCAGGUCUUGAGUAAAGUAGAAGUGGCUGGAAUAAGUAGUGUAGCGGUGAAAUGCAUAGAUAUUACUUAGAACACCAAUUGCGAAGGCAGGUCACUAUGUUUUAACUGACGCUGAUGGACGAAAGCGUGGGGAGCGAACAGG